GGAAGCUUUUGCAUCAGUUUGUUCUGCUAUUUCUCUCUCCAUGGGACAUCCUCUUAUUUGCACUCCAUGGCAUGGAAUGCACACGUCUAGCAAGAAGCCUGAAAACACUUUGGUGUCUGCAUCUCAUGUAGAACUCCGUUUAUCACGGUCCAGUGGAGAAGUUCUUUUGAAGUCAAGUGUCAGGUAUAAAUCACAGGUGGAUUCCUGAUUAAAUCAUCUACAUUAUUGCUAUACGUCACAAUUGACUUCAUUAAGUACUGAGGCAGAGUUUUGGAACAGGAUCAUUUUCUGGCUGGAAAUUGAGUUCUUUUCAUUGGUGGGUAGAACAUUAGGUGGAAGCAACUCAAGUACCUGAGCCCUCAUCAUCCAUGCCUCCUCGGCCGGGCAUCAGCUGGACACUUGGCCUGCAGGAGAGCCCAGACUCAUCAAACCUGAUGUGGCAUGAGAACAACUCAAAACUCAGUUGAACUGUCAAGCCAAACUGCCUCCAUAAAAAUCAGCUAAUGAAAGUAUGAAGCCAAGCUGCUGUUCUGGUGACCGACAUUGCCCGGUGAAGGCAUGCUUCUUACCACCUGAGCCAAGGUGGGCUGUGGUAGCAACCUGGGACAAAAGGACACAAUUCUGCAGUUCUAAUGUGAAGUAUUUCACCGUUCUUCAAGGCCAGCAUUCAAAGCCAACCAAAGAGCAUUCCUCAAAGACGUCGGAAAGCAUGCAUUCUAACUGAAGCCAGAAGAUGUGUCCUACAAACUGAGCCCCAUUCUUUCAUAGAGUUCAAUGAGCAGCCGAGACACUUACACAAAACCUGUGAGGAUCAACCAUUGGGUGUGAGUCAUUGCUCGCCUGUGAUCACCGUUCUAGAACAAGGAUUCGAAGCAGUCUACUUCGAACUCUUUGACAUCGUCACCAUUGGCAUCCAUCUACAGAGAUCUGAAGACAGUGAUGAGAUAAAGUAAUUACCUUCUUCAAAAGGUGAUGCUAGAAAGU
Long non-coding RNA from Ochotona curzoniae (black-lipped pika), 984 nucleotides. RefSeq lists it as uncharacterized. The transcript is spliced from 8 exons. The record is from RefSeq and is a predicted model, not a curated record. Lineage: Eukaryota; Metazoa; Chordata; Mammalia; Lagomorpha; Ochotonidae.